GCAUGGUUUUCUUUAGUUUUGUUUAUAAAUUUUGCCAUGUUUAUGUCUACUUUUACAGCUGUGGCAUUUCUUGUUGCUCUGCAUCAGAACAAACAGUUAAUUGGAAAAGAUGGCCUUCUCCCAGCACAUAAAUAUCUCAAUAACAUCAAGAACAGAGUUGGCGGAAUAAAGCAAGACAUGUUCAUCAACUGUCCCAGUAUUAUCUGGUUGUUCAACUACAACACACACCUGGAUCAGAUCCUCGACUACCUGGCAUACACAGGCUUGGCUCUGUCUCUGUUUGUUGUGAUACGCGGAGCUGCAAACUGGUUCAUUAUGUUGUCUCUGUGGGUGAUUUACCACUCUAUUGUCAGUGUUGGACAGCAGUGGUUCAGCUUUGGUUGGGAGUCCCAGCUACUGGAGACUGGUUUCCUGGCGAUAUUUCUGUGUCCUGUGAUGAACCUGUCCACCGUUCCACAACACACGCCCACAUCACUUAUUAUCAUCUAUGCAUACAGAUGGCUCAUCUUCCGCAUCAUGUUAGGAGCGGGUCUGAUCAAGAUCAGGGGAGACCAGUGUUGGAGAGACCUUACUUGUAUGAACUAUCAUUAUGAGACCCAGCCGGUGCCGAACCCCCUGAGCUACUACCUGCAUCAGUCUCCUGAACUGAUACACAAGAUGGAGACACUCGGCAACCACUUCAUCGAACUUGUGGCUCCAUUCUUCCUGAUCCUGGGACGGAGAAUGACCAUCAUUGGUGGAGGAAUACAGAUCUUCUUUCAGGUUGUGUUAAUCACCAGCGGUAACCUGAGUUUUCUCAACUGGUUGACCAUUGUUCCUAGCCUGGCUUGUUUUGAUGAUCGCAGUUUAAGUUGGAUGUUCUCUCGGCGUUCUCGGUCUGUCAAGUGUCGGGUAGCCCAGAUACAGCACCAGAUGGAAACUGGAAAAUUGACACCUAAACUGGGGGGUUAUAUCAGGAGAGUUUUCAACAUCAGCUUUGGCCUCCUCAUAGCCUAUCUGAGCAUCCCUGUUGUGCAGAACCUCCUCUCAAAGCGGCAGGCCAUGAACACAUCGUUCGACUCGCUGCGACUUGUCAAUACAUAUGGUGCUUUCGGCAGUAUUACCAAGGUGAGAACAGAGGUCAUUAUGCAAGGGACCUCGAGCAGUGACCCAAACGACCCCAGUGCCAAGUGGCUGGAGUAUGAGUUUAAGUGUAAACCUGGCAACAUCACACGGCGGCCAUGCAUCAUCUCCCCGUAUCACUACAGGAUGGACUGGCUCGCAUGGUUUGCAGCUUUCCAGAAUUACCAACACAACCCUUGGCUGGUGCAUGCUGCCUUGAAGUUUCUGAUCAACGAUGAAGGAACAACGUCUUUGAUUGCUCACAAUCCAUUUGAAGGUCGAGCACCACCAAAGUUUAUCAGAGUGGAACAUUACCGAUAUGCCUAUACCAAAAUUGGAAGCAAGGAAGCCAAGUCUGGAGCCUGGUGGCGCCGUAAACACAUUGGGAACUAUGUCCCGCCAAUAUCACUGAGAGCUGCACGAGACAUUGCCAGACAGAUGGACUGGGACAUACCUAGGUUGAAGAAGAAGUAACCAUGACAACGCUCCAGGGGAAGCAAACUGUGUACUAAUUGAUGAUGCCUACUUCCUGGGCGUGAGAAUAUUGUUUAAGUGGAUUUGGUUCUUUUGAGUUAUGCCUAGGGUGUUUUAUCAAAUAUUGUCAAGCUUUUCUUUAAAUCUACUUGAGGCAGAAAAUGUUUGUAAGAUUAUUUUUAAACUUAUUGAUUUUAUAGUUUUACAGAUAAGACUAUGCUACAUAUUUCAAAAUUAAAAAUAAAUUAAUUUUGAAAUAAUUGUCUUAUUAGUGUAUUUCAGUGAAAACAGUUUUAUUAAGAGUAUAUUUUCAGAAAGAACCCAGGUCCAUCUUUGUGUAUAUUUUGGUCUUGUUCUCUGCUAUAACAUUGCUCUGUAGGGCUGGGGAUGGAACAAUGCAAUAACUUGUUAAGUUUUUGGUUUGAGAAACUACAAGAACAGCAACAUUCCAUACUUCCAGUUUAUAUUUAGACUUUCACUAUAUCUCUCCAAAUGUGUUAUUGAUGCGAUAAGAAAUGUUUUGAGUUCCAUGAUCUCACCUCUGAAAAUGGAACCAGUUGAGGUAAUACAAACCUAGAUAUUGAUAAAAGUGUUUGUAUGCAUUGACCAUAACCAUUAAAUGUGAAAGAGCAAUCUCUUUUAUGUACGUACUUGCAGACAACAGCUGACCAAGCAUUUACACCUAAAUGUGAAACACAUUAAAAUACACACACACUAAAAGUGUCAGUUUCUAUAAUUGCUUCUUGGUAAUUCAGUUGUUGAAUUGGUUGUCAGAACUCUAUGUGUUAAAAGAUCGGGAUCCGGUGGUUACAGUGUGCCAACUGAUUGUUGUUGUUCAUGCUGUCGACCACUGAUGUCUCUGUCCCUGACUGGCUACAUGAGAUAUCAGGGAUAUUGAUGAUUGAGUGUAUAAACAAUAUUUAUUCACUCACUCAUUCUGUCUUUUUAGCUCACUCUACUAUUGAUCGUGUUUUAUCUUGUUUUUCUAUGUCGAGUUUAUGAAAACUUAUUGUGUGCGUAAUGUUAUAUGUUUGUUGUUAUAUUUGUUGAUGAUACAGUCCCAUUGUCCCACUUAUGUCCUACAAUAUGUUGUUGUGGUUGAUGGUUAUAAAAGUUGAUAUCAGUGAGAAAAUGUUUGUGUGUGCAAGUGUUUCAGUGAAGAUGACCACAUAUCUGUAAUGCCAAAAUUAAUAGUCUCAAAGCACUUCAUAAUCCACAGUAUAGUGGUGAAGAUAUGGUCUACAGUACUGGUGAUGAUAUGAUCUACAGUACUGAUUGUAUGAUCUGCAGUACUGGUAUGAUCUGCAGUACUGGUGAUAUGAUCUGCAGUACUGGUGAUGAUAUGAUCUACAUUACUGGUGGUAUGAUCUGUACAGUACUGGUUGCAUGAUCCACAAUACUGGUCGUAUGAUCUACAUUACUGGUGAUGAUAUGAUCUACAGUACUGGUAGUAUCAUCUGCAGUACUGGUCGUAUGACAUACCACGCAGAGUACUCAUUGUGUGACAUACGAUACUUGUGAUAAAUGAAAAAGACUUCUGAAACUUCAGCUCUGUCUAAUGAAACGUCUGUUAUCAAAACAGAAAGGGACUUUCAUGGAGUUUUGUCGUCAAUAUAGUGUCCUGGAAAUUGAUAUUGUAAAGUGCUAAGAACAUCGGGUAGUGUUUGUUAGAGUUUGUCGCGAAAUGUGCUCAAUCAUUGGUGUAUAUGUUUCAUCGUCAUAAUUUAAUUGAAAAUAAUGGAUUGAUUCCUGAUGAGCUAAUAAACAACGAUACAAAGAAA
RNAcentral lists this unclassified non-coding RNA (3356 nucleotides) under Haliotis rubra (blacklip abalone). RNAcentral describes it as "lipase maturation factor 1-like, transcript variant X1". Lineage: Eukaryota; Metazoa; Mollusca; Gastropoda; Lepetellida; Haliotidae. The record is from RNAcentral.